GGGAAUGUGGCUUAGUGGUAGAGUGCUUGCCUAGCAUGAAGCCCUAGGUUCGAUUCCUCAAUACCA
RNAcentral lists this transfer RNA (66 nucleotides) under Dipodomys ordii (Ord's kangaroo rat). It matches the Rfam family "tRNA". Rfam says of the family: Transfer RNA (tRNA) molecules are approximately 80 nucleotides in length. Their secondary structure includes four short double-helical elements and three loops (D, anti-codon, and T loops). The record is from Rfam by way of RNAcentral. Lineage: Eukaryota; Metazoa; Chordata; Mammalia; Rodentia; Heteromyidae.